Long non-coding RNA from Gadus morhua (Atlantic cod), 986 nucleotides. RefSeq lists it as uncharacterized. The transcript is spliced from 2 exons. NCBI's taxonomy places the organism in Eukaryota, Metazoa, Chordata, Actinopteri, Gadiformes, Gadidae. The record is from RefSeq and is a predicted model, not a curated record.
GUCACCAGAGCGAUGCCACAGUCCAUACAUACUGUCACCAGAGCGAUGCCACAGUCCAUACAUACUGUCACCAGAGCGAUGCCACAAUCCAUACAUACUGUCACCAGGCCGCUGCUGGACAUUUCAUGACUAAGGUUGUGCGAGUUCUGCGACUGAACUGCACUGUAACCGAUUGCAUAGUGUGUAAGAAGACCCCUCAUGGAGAAGACCAGAGAGACCGGGGAAGCCCUUAAGACUCCAGUGAAGCAGGCAGAGAGCCGGUGAUGGACACUGUGGUGUCCAAAACCCUUCUUUAUACUCAGUGGGUUUGCGACGUCAGCCAUAUUGGAAGUUCUUUAACAAACAUCAGCAAUAGUAACAGAUUAUAUUCACAGAUUGCACCAAACGACCAUUCGGUCCUUCCCUGCCUUGUCAGAGUUUUAGUUCCUGGAUACAACUUGUAUAUAUGUGUUUUAUUUUUUAAACAAAACCAAUAUCUCCUUCCUGUGCUCUGCUUGGCCAGCGGGUCAUGCAGACAUUGCAUGGAGGGCUUUGCAUGUAAACUGAAAGCAGUUGGAACAGGAUGCAUUUCAUUCCCUAAAUGUGUCUUAAAUCACUUCAAAGCUUUUCUUUAAAGUAAGACAUGGGACCCUAAAGUAGGGCCCAUUACACCAGGUACCCUGGGAGGACUCUUAACUCUUAACUUAAGUAAGUGCACAGUGUUCUUUAAGGGGCGCUAUCUCAUGUGGGAUUGUUCAAAUAAAUUGCAAUGCUUCCCAUCAAACAAAUUAUUUUUGUGAUUUGUGAGUGAAUGAAGUUGAAACUUGAGUCUUGAUCUACUUACUCAUAUUGAUGUAUGAUUCAAUACGUUUAAAAUGAAGAAAAUAAUACACCCAUUACCAUGUUGACAGCAGAGGUUAGACACAUCAACACGUAAAGUAGUUCACAGGAAUGGAGCUAAUUAUUCCAAGUACAAGGAAAACCAAAUAGAAUACAAAUUAAUUACA